This 822-nucleotide ribosomal RNA is filed under the name Waikalasma sp. n. 1 BKKC-2017. RNAcentral describes it as "partial 16S ribosomal RNA". The stretch from base 330 to 571 matches the Rfam family "Archaeal large subunit ribosomal RNA", at positions 1786 to 2143 of the family's 2987-position model. Lineage: Eukaryota; Metazoa; Arthropoda; Thecostraca; Balanomorpha; Waikalasmatidae. The record is from RNAcentral.
UUAAUACAUUAAUAUAGGAGUGAAAUGUUAAUCGAUUUUAUUAAUAUCUAGUAACUUCUGAGAAAAAUUUAGUUUAAAAUGUUUAGAAUUAUCAUUUUAUGUACAUAUUUAGUUUUUAGGGGAUGAGCUCUAAAGAUAAAUUAUAAGAAUUAAAGUUACACACUUUUUUGUUUGGGCUUAGAGUUAGCUAUAUGAUAGUGUUAUAAGAUAGAAGUUUGGGAUUAUGAUUUAUAAUUCUUUUUAAGAAAGGAGGUUAUUUUUUAAAUUUAAUAUUAAAAGAAAAUAUGAUAAUAUUAGUAGAUUAAAUUAUAAAAUAGUCAAUAGAAGUUUUUUAUAUUAUUAUAAUAAAAGAAUUCGGCAAAAUUGAUCUCCGAAUGUUUAACAAAAACAUUUCCUCUUCGUUUAAGAGGUAAGGCCUGCUCACUGAAUUUUAAAGAGCCGCAGUAUAUUGACUGUGCUAAGGUAGCAUAAUCAUUAGUCUUUUAAUUGGGGACUGGUAUGAAUGGCUAAACGAGAGAUCAACUUUUUUUAUUAUAUAGAUUGAAUUUAAUUUUUUAGUGAAAAGGCUAAAAUUGUUCAGAAAGACGAGAAGACCCUAUAGAGUUUUAUAUAAUAAAAUAUCUUAUUUCAUUGGUUUUAUAUAGGUAGAAUAUGGUUUUAUAUUUUGUUGGGGCGACAUUAAGAUAUGAUGAACUCUUGAUUUUUAUUACUUAUAUUUAGGGAAAUAAUGAUCCUCUAGAAGAGAUCAAAAGAAAAAAUUACCUUAGGGAUAACAGCGUAAUCUUUUUUGAGAGUUCAUAUCGACGAAAAGGUUUGCGACCU